Protobothrops mucrosquamatus (brown spotted pit viper) is the source of this 229-nucleotide long non-coding RNA. RefSeq lists it as uncharacterized. NCBI's taxonomy places the organism in Eukaryota, Metazoa, Chordata, Lepidosauria, Squamata, Viperidae. The record is from RefSeq and is a predicted model, not a curated record. The transcript has 3 exons.
GCUUUACUGGUUUUUCUACGACAUCGGCUCCAUCCGGACGUGGGCCGAAGGGGUCAACAUCCACACCCAGCUGAGACUCUCCCGGGACCAGGGGGGGCGUCUCAAGAUCGCCAACAUGAGCUGCAACGCCUCCAUCGCCCAGAUGAACGCGGGAUUCAGCGGCACGCUGCGAAAGGUGUAUGAAUUCCUGGCUGUACUGAUCACCACAGGGGUACGCUACCUGCUCAGU